UGAUGUGUUCAUUUCAAAGAUUAAGCCAUGCAUGUAUAAGUAUAAACGACUUGAUCGUGAAACCGCGAACGGCUCAUUAUAACAGCUAUAAUUUACUUGAUCUUGACAAUUUACUUGGAUAACUGUGGUAAUUCUAGAGCUAAUACAUGCACCAAAGCUCCGACCGUAAGGAAAGAGCGCAUUUAUUAGAACAAAACCAAGCGGCUUCGGCCGUUCAAUGUUGAAUCAUAAUAACUAAGCUGAUCGCAUGGUCUUGUACCGGCGACGUGUCUUUCAAGUAUCUGCCUUAUCAACUUUCGAUGGUAGUGUAUCUGACUACCAUGGUUGUGACGGGUAACGGAGGAUAAGGGUUCGACUCCGGAGAAGGGGCCUGAGAAAUGGCCACUACGUCUAAGGAUGGCAGCAGGCGCGCAAAUUACCCACUCUCAGAACGAGGAGGUAGUGACGAGAAAUAACAAGACCGUUCUCUUCAGAGGCCGGUCAUUGGAAUGGGUACAAUUUAAACCCUUUAACGAGUAUCUAUGAGAGGGCAAGUCUGGUGCCAGCAGCCGCGGUAAUUCCAGCUCUCAAAAUGCAUAGAAUCAUUGCUGCGGUUAAAAAGCUCGUAGUUGGAUCUGUGCUGGCGGGUCGGUCCACCUUCGGGUGCGCACUGAUUUCGCCGGCUUUCCUGCUGUAUUUGGCCCUGUGCCUUUCAACGGGUGCAGUGUCCAGUGCAGCAAGUUUACCUUGAACAAAUCAGAGUGCUUCAAACAGGCGUUUCGCUUGAAUGUUCGUGCAUGGAAUAAUAGAAGAGGAUUUCGGUUCUAUUUUAUUGGUUUUAUAGACUGAGAUAAUGGUUGACAGAGACUAACGGGGGCAUUAGUAUUGCUACGUGAGAGGUGAAAUUCUUGGACCGUAGCAAGACUGACUACAGCGAAAGCAUUUGCCAAGAAAGUCUUCAUUAAUCAAGAACGAAAGUCAGAUGUUCGAAGGCGAUCAGAUACCGCCCUAGUUCUGACCGUAAACGAUGCCAACUAGUGAUCCGCCGGUGGAACAUUCGCCCUGGUGGGGAACUUCCCGGAAACGAAAGUCUUCCGGUUCCGGGGGAAGUAUGGUUGCAAAGCUGAAACUUAAAGGAAUUGACGGAAGGGCACCACCAGGAGUGGAGCCUGCGGCUUAAUUUGACCCAACACGGGAAAACUCACCCGGCCCGGACACCGUAAGGAUUGACAGAUUGAUAGCUCUUUCAUGAUUCGGUGGAUGGUGGUGCAUGGCC
This 1255-nucleotide ribosomal RNA is filed under the name metagenome. Its description in RNAcentral is "SSU rRNA". It matches the Rfam family "Eukaryotic small subunit ribosomal RNA", at positions 24 to 1289 of the family's 1831-position model. The record is from RNAcentral.